CCCGGAGCCCAGCCAUCUGCGUUGGCUGGGUUGCUAAGCAAUGGGCAGAUCACCUGCAGGGACAAGGACGGCGGUGGCGUCAAGGCGAAGCCAUUAGCAUAAGCGGCGGCUUGCUGACCUCUUGAGUGAGCGUGGAGAGGAAGAUGACCUUGUGGCCCGCCACGGGGAAGUCUAGACUCAUGCAAGCGCCGCCGUCAGCGUUGAGCCACAUAUACAGGCUUUGCACCACGAGAGGCUUCAACAACUCCACGCGCUUGUCGCUGGCCUCCAUUUUUCCGCUCGCUUCUCGACUUCCUCGGCUGGGACUUACCCACCUCCGCAAAUGACAAAACAAGCAUCACCUCUUUUCAGCUGCUUUGUCAUACAGAGC
This is a long non-coding RNA of Hippocampus zosterae (dwarf seahorse), 370 nucleotides long. RefSeq lists it as uncharacterized. The record is from RefSeq and is a predicted model, not a curated record. The transcript has 3 exons. Lineage: Eukaryota; Metazoa; Chordata; Actinopteri; Syngnathiformes; Syngnathidae.